This 407-nucleotide ribosomal RNA is filed under the name uncultured bacterium. RNAcentral describes it as "partial 16S ribosomal RNA". It matches the Rfam family "Bacterial small subunit ribosomal RNA", at positions 28 to 526 of the family's 1533-position model. The record is from RNAcentral.
GACGAACGCUGGCGGCGUGCCUAAUACAUGCAAGUAGGACGCAGUGGCGAACGGGGGAGUAACGCGUAGGUAACUACCUAUUAGAGGGGGAGAACAAUUGGAAACGAUAGCCAAUACCGCAUACUAGUAGAUGGAACUGCGUUUUAUUAGCUAGUAGGUAGGGUAAUGGCCUACCUAGGCAACGACACAUAGCCGACCUGAGAGGGUGAUCGGCCACACUGGGACCGAGACACGGCCCCGACUCCUACGUGAGGCAGCAGUAGGGAAUCUUCGGCAAUGGGGGGAACCCUUACCGAGCAACGCCGCGUGAGUGAAGAAGGUUUUCGGAUCGUAAAGCUCUGUUGUUAAGGAAGCGGUACUUAACCAGAAAGGGACGGCUAACUACGUGCCAGCAGCCGCGGUAAUUC